This 459-nucleotide ribosomal RNA is filed under the name uncultured bacterium. RNAcentral describes it as "partial 16S ribosomal RNA". It matches the Rfam family "Bacterial small subunit ribosomal RNA", at positions 338 to 795 of the family's 1533-position model. The record is from RNAcentral.
CCUACGGGUGGCUGCAGUGAGGAAUAUUGGUCAAUGGGCGCGAGCCUGAACCAGCCAAGUAGCGUGAAGGAUGACUGCUCUAUGAGUUGUAAACUGCUUUUGUACAAGGGUAAACCUGACUACGUGUAUUCAGCUGAAAGUACUGUACGAAUAAGGAUCGGCUAACUCCGUGCCAGCAGCCGCGGUAAUACGGAGGAUCCAAGCGUUAUCCGGAUUUAUUGGGUUUAACGGGUGCGCAGGCGGAGGUGAAAGUCAGUGGUCAAAUUGCGGGGCUCAACCCCGUACUGCCGUUGAAACUGCAUCCCUUGAGUGCGCGAGAAGUAUGCGGAAUGCGUGGUGUAGCGGUGAAAUGCAUAGAUAUCACGCAGAACUCCGAUGGCGAAGGCAGCAUACCGGCGCGCAACUGACGCUCAUGCACGAAAGCGUGGGUAUCGAACAGGAUUAGAUACCCCGGUAGUC